Molecule: long non-coding RNA, 277 nt
Filed under: Lonchura striata (white-rumped munia)
Lineage: Eukaryota; Metazoa; Chordata; Aves; Passeriformes; Estrildidae
Description: domestica (Bengalese finch) lncRNA (ENSLSDG00000015004.1)
Source: RNAcentral
UUCCUUUGCUUGUGUGAAGGCAAACCCUGAGUGUUAUCUGCAGAAGCUAUUAAAGAAUUAGAUAUAAUUAGCUCACGACUCUCCACUGUAAAGAGCAAUACUGCUCUGAAGAUUUGCAUUUGCAGAACCUGUGGAGACCAGAAAUCUGGCCAAGGAAAAGCUUGCUGCACUCCCCUGGAGGAUUGACCCCUAAGCCACAACCCUUGUAGUUAUGGUCUAAGGUGGCUACCUGCUUGUCUGGACAAACAUCCAUUGCCUCUGAGGAGAUGAGGCCCAG